GCCGAAGUGGUGGAACUGGUAGACACGCACGCUUGAGGGGCGUGUGUUCGAAAGGACGUGCGAGUUCGAUUCUCGCCUUCGGCACCA
RNAcentral lists this transfer RNA (87 nucleotides) under Desulfuromonadales bacterium. Its description in RNAcentral is "tRNA-Leu". It matches the Rfam family "tRNA". From Rfam's summary of the family: Transfer RNA (tRNA) molecules are approximately 80 nucleotides in length. Lineage: Bacteria; Pseudomonadati; Thermodesulfobacteriota; Desulfuromonadia; Desulfuromonadales. The record is from RNAcentral. RNAcentral also lists the same sequence under 2 other names.